CUAACACAUGCAAGUCGAACGAAGCAAUUAAGAUGAAGUUUUCGGAUGGAAUCUUGAUUGACUGAGUGGCGGACGGGUGAGUAACGCGUGGAUAACCUGCCUCACACUGGGGGAUAACAGUUAGAAAUGACUGCUAAUACCGCAUAAGCGCACAGUGCCGCAUGGCAGUGUGUGAAAAACUCCGGUGGUGUGAGAUGGAUCCGCGUCUGAUUAGCCAGUUGGCGGGGUAACGGCCCACCAAAGCGACGAUCAGUAGCCGACCUGAGAGGGUGACCGGCCACAUUGGGACUGAGACACGGCCCAAACUCCUACGGGAGGCAGCAGUGGGGAAUAUUGCACAAUGGGCGAAAGCCUGAUGCAGCGACGCCGCGUGAGUGAAGAAGUAUUUCGGUAUGUAAAGCUCUAUCAGCAGGGAAGAAAAUGACGGUACCUGACUAAGAAGCCCCGGCUAACUACGUGCCAGCAGCCGCGGUAAUACGUAGGGGGCAAGCGUUAUCCGGAUUUACUGGGUGUAAAGGGAGCGUAGACGGCGAAGCAAGUCUGAAGUGAAAACCCAGGGCUCAACCCUGGGACUGCUUUGGAAACUGUUUUGCUAGAGUGUCGGAGAGGUAAGUGGAAUUCCUAGUGUAGCGGUGAAAUGCGUAGAUAUUAGGAGGAACACCAGUGGCGAAGGCGGCUUACUGGACGAUAACUGACGUUGAGGCU
This 705-nucleotide ribosomal RNA is filed under the name uncultured Lachnospiraceae bacterium. RNAcentral's name for it is "bacterial SSU rRNA". It matches the Rfam family "Bacterial small subunit ribosomal RNA", at positions 48 to 753 of the family's 1533-position model. The record is from RNAcentral. Lineage: Bacteria; Bacillati; Bacillota; Clostridia; Lachnospirales; Lachnospiraceae.